Molecule: transfer RNA, 73 nt
Filed under: Stegodyphus mimosarum
Lineage: Eukaryota; Metazoa; Arthropoda; Arachnida; Araneae; Eresidae
Rfam family: tRNA
About the family: Transfer RNA (tRNA) molecules are approximately 80 nucleotides in length. Their secondary structure includes four short double-helical elements and three loops (D, anti-codon, and T loops). Further hydrogen bonds mediate the characteristic L-shaped molecular structure. tRNAs have two regions of fundamental functional importance: the anti-codon, which is responsible for specific mRNA codon recognition, and the 3' end, to which the tRNAs corresponding amino acid is attached (by aminoacyl-tRNA synthetases). tRNAs cope with the degeneracy of the genetic code in two manners: having more than one tRNA (with a specific anti-codon) for a particular amino acid; and 'wobble' base-pairing, i.e. permitting non-standard base-pairing at the 3rd anti-codon position.
Source: Rfam by way of RNAcentral
ACUUUCGUGGUGUAGUGGUCAGCACGCUGGACGCGUAUUCCACAGGUCCAUGGUUCGAGUCCCGGCGAAGGCG